RNAcentral lists this ribosomal RNA (253 nucleotides) under uncultured bacterium. Its description in RNAcentral is "partial 16S ribosomal RNA". It matches the Rfam family "Bacterial small subunit ribosomal RNA", at positions 524 to 776 of the family's 1533-position model. The record is from RNAcentral.
UACGUAGGGCGCAAGCGUUGUCCGGAAUUAUUGGGCGUAAAGAGCUCGUAGGCGGCCUGUUGCGUCCGCUGUGAAAUCCCGGGGCUCAACCCCGGGCCUGCAGUGGAUACGGGCUGGCUAGAGGCAGGCAGGGGAGAACGGAAUUCCUGGUGUAGCGGUGAAAUGCGCAGAUAUCAGGAGGAACACCGGUGGCGAAGUCGGUUCUCUGGGCCUGUACUGACGCUGAGGAGCGAAAGCGUGGGGAGCGAACAGG